Small nuclear RNA from Ochotona curzoniae (black-lipped pika), 102 nucleotides. The record is from RefSeq and is a predicted model, not a curated record. Lineage: Eukaryota; Metazoa; Chordata; Mammalia; Lagomorpha; Ochotonidae.
GUUUGCUUCGGCACCACAUAUACUAAAAUUGGAACGACAGAGAGAUUAGUGUGGCCCCUGCGCAAGGAUGACACGAAAGUGCAUGGGUCUGUGGAUACACAC